RNAcentral lists this ribosomal RNA (448 nucleotides) under uncultured bacterium. RNAcentral describes it as "bacterial SSU rRNA". It matches the Rfam family "Bacterial small subunit ribosomal RNA", at positions 328 to 793 of the family's 1533-position model. The record is from RNAcentral.
AUUCCAGACUCCUACGGGAGGCAGCAGUGGGGAAUAUUGCACAAUGGGGGGAACCCUGAUGCAGCGACGCCGCGUGGGUGAAGGAGCACCUCGGUGCGUAAAGCCCUAUCGGCAGGGAAGAAACAGACGGUACCUGACUAAGAAGCCCCGGCUAACUACGUGCCAGCAGCCGCGGUAAUACGUAGGGGGCAAGCGUUAUCCGGAUUCACUGGGUGUAAAGGGAGCGUAGACGGCGACGCAAGUCUGGAGUGAAAGCCCGGGGCCCAACCCCGGGACUGCUCUGGAAACUGUGCGGCUGGAGUGCGGGAGGGGCAGGCGGAAUUCCUGGUGUAGCGGUGAAAUGCGUAGAUAUCAGGAGGAACACCGGCGGCGAAGGCGGCCUGCUGGACCGCGACUGACGUUGAGGCUCGAAAGCGUGGGGAGCAAACAGGAUUAGAUACCCGGGUAC